AUUGAACGCUGGCGGCAGGCCUAACACAUGCAAGUCGAGCGGUAGAGAGAAGCUUGCUUCUCUUGAGAGCGGCGGACGGGUGAGUAAUGCCUAGGAAUCUGCCUAGUGGUGGGGGAUAACGUUCGGAAACGGACGCUAAUACCGCAUACGUCCUACGGGAGAAAGCGGGGGAUCUUCGGACCUCGCGCCAUUAGAUGAGCCUAGGUCGGAUUAGCUAGUUGGUGAGGUAAUGGCUCACCAAGGCGACGAUCCGUAACUGGUCUGAGAGGAUGAUCAGUCACACUGGAACUGAGACACGGUCCAGACUCCUACGGGAGGCAGCAGUGGGGAAUUUUGGACAAUGGGCGCAAGCCUGAUCCAGCAAUGCCGCGUGCAGGAAGAAGGCCUUCGGGUUGUAAACUGCUUUUGUACGGAACGAAAAGGCUCUGGUUAAUACCUGGGGCUCAUGACGGUACCGUAAGAAUAAGCACCGGCUAACUACGUG
This 484-nucleotide ribosomal RNA is filed under the name uncultured bacterium. Its description in RNAcentral is "bacterial SSU rRNA". It matches the Rfam family "Bacterial small subunit ribosomal RNA", at positions 30 to 507 of the family's 1533-position model. The record is from RNAcentral.